RNAcentral lists this long non-coding RNA (781 nucleotides) under Rhinopithecus bieti (black snub-nosed monkey). RNAcentral's name for it is "lncRNA (ENSRBIG00000045168.1)". The record is from RNAcentral. Lineage: Eukaryota; Metazoa; Chordata; Mammalia; Primates; Cercopithecidae.
AAAUACCAAAGUAAACACCGUUUUCCUGCUUGUUACUUCCUAGAAAGUAGCACGUCUGGAAAUUGAGAACAAAGUCCUUCAGGAGCAAUUGAAACAGGCUUUACAGGAAGCUGAAAAAGCUAAGCAUCAACUUAACUAUUUCCUAAAUCAAGAGAGGAAGUUACUUAAAAGUGAGGGGAAAACUGAGACAACCAUGCGAGUGGGUAAUAGUCAAACAGAAGUUAAAGGUGAAGAUUCAAAAACUAUACCAUUGGAGAAGGAAACAAGAAAAUCACUGGUUUCAGAUUCAGGUGGACAGAGGGCAAGUGAUAAAAUCCAAGAAUAUCCACAGAUCACUGCCCAAAGCGGAAGACUGAUUGAAAAAAGCUCAGAGAAGAAACGAUCUAGCCCUGCUAUUUCAGAUCUUUCACAGAUCCUUAAGUCUCAAGAUGAAUCAGCAUCUUUAGAGAGUUCAAAUGAAGUUUCAGUUGCUGAAAACCAACCCAAUAAAUCUCCAUCAGAGACCCAUCAUAAAUCACUUACAACAGUAUCAUCCAGCAAAGAAGUUCAAGAUUCACUGUCUGUUGGAACAUUGGCUCAAAAAAAUGAAACAGUGAUGUCACCAUUCGUUUUACCUCCUGUUCUUACAGAAAGUAAAAAGGUAUGAUAUAUAUAGAAAUUUGAAAGCUGUUUAUUUCAUAUUGCUCCUUCACUAUCCCAAAUAAAUGCUAACCCAUUUAAAUGGGUUAAAAAUUCAGUAUUUUCUUAUUUCAAGAGAAUUAAAAGUUUGCCUUUUAACACA